UCAUCUUUGGCAAAAUAGGUCCCUAAGCUUAUAAAUCAUCCUUUGCAAAAUAGGUCCUAAGGUUAUGUAUGUUUGCCAAAUGUCAUCUAUUUAUUUCCUUCUUUUUCAAGGGUCCUUCUAGACUAUUGUUAAAACUAAAGUUGGGUGUUGACUGAGGGUACGUAGCUUUUUCCUGCUUUAUCCAAUUUGUUUACUCAUGCCUACCCUUUCCCGUUUUUUUGCCACGUGCUUCUUUCCUUGCUUUGCCUUCUUCCCGAUCCUUCCACCAACACCUACCCUUUCCUAUUCCAGAUCGACUCUCCUCCGGUUCCCCCUCCACCAAAGUUCUGCCUUGCUGUAAAUCCUCACCGAUUUCUCUCCCUAUUCAAUUUUUUCUUCUUUGUUUGAUCUACAACCCAUUCAAUUCCUCGAUUUUUUGUCUUCCCUGCGUAUUUGGUUUCUCGGUUUUGUUUUCCCCCCGAUCCAUUUGUCGAUGAGGUGUGUAAUUCCUCGAUUUCCCGUUGUCGGCGUCAAACAGAGGGGAAAAAAACUUUAUUGUACUUGAUGCAUAGUUCCGAUUUCUCUUAUAAUUCCUUCAUCAACGGUUACAGAGGUGUGUAUAGAUGGUGAUUGAAAGGUACCUUCUACUCCAUCUUUUGUGUUCUCAUUGCGUAUAAGUUUUUUCUAGGUCUUCACUUAUCUACUUCAAGGUUUGUCUGUUCUACCACCUCCGCCACUCCUGUGAGUUCCUCGACCAAUCUAGCAUCUUCCUCCGCCAACAACUAGAGACAAUAUACGACAUCCAUUGAGGGGAAAAGACAUUAAAGAUGAUAAAGGCAUCAACUAGGUUUUGAUAUCUAUACAACCAUCAAUUUGAGAUUUACAGGUAAGUAGCUUUGAUUUGGGAUCUGAAACGGUCUUAUCAGACUCAUCAAUGGGUACAUAAUCAUCAACGACAUGUGUAUUAACCUGCAUCCCAACGUCAUGUACCGGAGUAAAGAAUGGUCGUGUAUUUACUGCUUCAGGAAUUCAUUAAUAGUCCUAUCCAUAAUACUUUUUCUCUUUAUAUUUCUCUUUUUAGCUCCAUGCUCUUUGAGAAAUCUGAUUUCCAUGUCAGUCAUUUCAUAUUUUAUAUGUGUUUUUUAGGUGGUGAGUUGGUACUCCAUGGUCGUUGCUUGAAAACACUACUCGUGUAGACAUGGAAAUGGAGUUUGCUUACACUCAUGUGGAUGUCUAACUUCUUAUUGUUUUAUUUGGAAUAGUUGAGAGAUGAAGCAAAGGAAAAGGAGGGACUAAGUAUGGGGAAAAAGUUGAAACAUAAAAAGUCAAAUCACAGGAAGCCAUCAACAUGUUAAGGAAGAAAGGGCAUUACGUUAACCAGGUUCAUGCAAUUUUUAAGGAACUGUUGGCAAUAACCGUUGGUAGACUUCUUGUUUCCGGUGUAGAUGUUAUCAACUCGAUACUGGAAAGGGAUAUCUGCGUAAAGCAUUAUCGGCGACGGGCAAUAACGGCGACGCUAGGGCAAUAACGGCGACACUAGGGCAAUAGCGGCGACAAGUGGAGGGAAAAGUCAGCGAGUCUUUUCGCUUUCCUCUACAGCCGUUGGAUUGAAAAGAGAUCGGACGGUUGGGGUUAAAAUGACACGGAUCGCUGUAACAAAGAAUUAGCGGCGACACCUAGCAAUAGCGGCGACAUGUAACGCGUCAAUUACAUGUCGCCGCUAUUGUUUGGUGUCGCCGCUAAAGGCGUCGCCGGUAAUGCCAAGGUUUCUUGUAGUGAAAUAAUGGUGUUAUAUAAGUCUUCAACACUAAUUUCAUACGCAAAUUAGAACCUACUUCCCAGAUAAAUAUCCAUGUCAUUUUCUACACAUUUUUUUUUUAAAUAAAGGUCUCAUAAAAACAACAAUAUCGAUACAAACAAUCUUAAAUUUACAACUAUUUUACUGUUGUUUUAGCAUUUAACCAAUAAAGAGUCCAUAACUUAAUUUGUAAAUGAAUUCUUAAACAUUAAGGUCAUUAAGAUCCUAUCUUACAAACCAUCUUGCGAGAUCAUAUAUGCAUCCGGUUGAGAGGUUUUUUGCAUGGCCCCACCAUUAUCUACUUUCAUACCCGACAGUAGCAGCAAGCUCGACCCUUAAUGACACCAACCUUUUUGCAGCUACCCACAUACAUUAAUCUUCAUGCAAUUCUUUUUCACUUGAAAUUCAAAAAUAUAUACAGCCAAGCAAGGUAGAUGUACACAUGAAAACUACUUUGCAUCUUGUUCCUAAUUAUCCAUCAAGAUUCUAGGCACCUGCAUGAGAGAAAUAAUAGCACGUUUAAAAAAACUUUGAACACUGAUUGGUUUUUGGGAAUAAACAAAUACAUAUGUUGCCAAUUGUAGUCAUCAAACUUGAUCUUCUUGGAUGUAGGUACAUCACUCCCUGCCUAUUUUUCAAAUUCAGCAACUAACAAAUUCAAACAUAAUGCAUACCUAUAAUCACAAAAUCAUAAGGACUAAUCCUAUUCUUACAACUUCUAAUUAGUACUCAAAAUCAAUAUUAGCAGCCUCAAUCUUCUUGUGCCGUUUUUAGACCAAUUUAAAUAUCCCAUCUACCAAAUCUUUAUGCUCUUCAUAUGUCAUUUUCUGAAUCAUUUUACUCAACAACAAUUGAGGUAGGUAACUUAGUUUGAGUCAUGACCGGAUGAAUAUCCAGUCAAGCCUUGAAGAAUAACGGCCAAAAUAUUUAAUGCGGUGAUUAAACAUUAAAUGAAAUGAAGUCAAUCAACAAAGAGAAUGCUUGGAAAGUGAAAUGAAGUAAAUGAACAAAGAGAAUGUUUGGAAAGAACGACGGAUGUAAUUCUUGAUAUGAGAAACGUUAAUGAUUACAUGCAUGGGUUGACAUUCCUAUUCAUAGCAAAUAGGAGCAUGCAAAUUAAACUCAUUUCAUAUCAUUUUAUAUAUUAUUAAUUAGAGAAUAAAUUAAACUUAUGUUUGGUUCAUGGAUUGCAAAGGAAUUCGAAAGAAUUAAAGUAAAAGAUUAGGUGGUUGACGUAUUUAGCUGACAAAUGGAUGAAAGUUAAUUUGGUUAAAAUACAUCUAAAUCCACAAUUGAAAGAUUCUAUCAUUUUUUUGACACAAGUUCAAUAAAUCAUGUAAAUUCCAUUACUAAAGUAUGUUCCCUUCUCAAUUAAAUGUUGAUGUUACAUGCCUUUAUACCCGCCUGGACCUCUAAACCUUCCUCAUGAGUCCAUGGAGGAUUGCAUUAUUGGUAGCUACAAAAUCCCUAAAGGCACACGUUUAUUGACUAAUCUUUGGAAAAUUCAACAUGAGCUAGAUCCUAAAGAAUUUCAGCCAGAAAGAUUCUUGACAACUCACAAACAUGUUGAUGUCAGGGGAAACAAUUAUGAAUUGCUUCCUUUCGGUAGUGGUAGAAGAGUAUGCCCUGCUAUUCCGUUUGCUCUUCGGUCUUUGUAUAUAACUUUAGCUACUUUAAUACAACAAUUUGUGCUUAAAAAGCCAUCGAAUGAACCCAUUGAUAUGAGUGAAAGCGCCGGAGUGAGUAUCAGCAAAGCAAUCCCACUUGAGGUCCUUCUCGCCCCCCGUUUAUCCCUUGAUAUGUAUCCUAUUGCUGCAUGAUAUGUCAGCUUCAAAGCAACUACAAGCUCCAAUGCCGGUGACUAUAAGCCCGCACCCUGACUAUAAGCCCGCACCCUAGAAUUGUGAUUAAUAAUGAAUUAUGCAUUAAUGAUUGUUGUAUAAAUAAUCAUGAGAAAAAAAUAAUUAAAGAAGUCGAGAUGUAGGCAAUAGUUGGCAAAAAAAAAAAUAAUUUAGACAUAAUUUUCUUUUCAAGAGAAUCGUGUUCGAAAUUGUGGAAAAAAUGUGACAAGGGUAUAAUUGUCCACUUUUAGUUUUCAUUUCUUUUCCUUCCAACUCGGGAACACAAAAAAAAUAAUUUUCAUUUUCUUUCUCUCGAACUCGAACUCGGGAACAGAAAACUACACUUUACUUUCCUUUCCAUUAUUUUAUUUUCUCUCGGCAUUUCUCUUCUUUUCUUUCCUUUAAAUGAAACUCAGGAACAGGGUGUAACCGCCGUUUCCCCUCACCAUUGCCAUUUCCCUGGUUUUCUGUAGAUUUUUUUUGUCAUUUAUUACGCCACCAGGUUCCUCACUAUCGCUGCCAUCACCACCAUAACCGUACGAUUUAUAUCAGUUUAUUUCCUGUCGU
Molecule: non-coding RNA, 4185 nt
Organism: Lactuca sativa (garden lettuce)
Lineage: Eukaryota; Viridiplantae; Streptophyta; Magnoliopsida; Asterales; Asteraceae
Source: RefSeq, a predicted model, not a curated record